This 57-nucleotide ribosomal RNA is filed under the name Lentzea flaviverrucosa. RNAcentral's name for it is "partial 23S ribosomal RNA". The record is from RNAcentral. Lineage: Bacteria; Bacillati; Actinomycetota; Actinomycetes; Pseudonocardiales; Pseudonocardiaceae.
GUGGAAGACCGGUAACGGUUGGAGCUGACUGGUACUAAUAGGCCGAGGACUUGUUAC